RNAcentral lists this unclassified non-coding RNA (314 nucleotides) under plant metagenome. RNAcentral describes it as "partial contains 5.8S ribosomal RNA, internal transcribed spacer 2, and large subunit ribosomal RNA". The stretch from base 1 to 105 matches the Rfam family "5.8S ribosomal RNA", at positions 50 to 154 of the family's 154-position model. The record is from RNAcentral.
GAAAUGCGAUAAUUAAUGUGAAUUGCAGAAUUCAGUGAAUCAUCGAGUCUUUGAACACACAUUGCGCCCCCUGGUAUUCCGGGGGGCAUACCUGUCCGAGCGUCAUUGCUGCCCUCAAGCACGGCUUGUGUGUUGGGCUUCCGUCCCUGGCAACGGGGACGGGCCCAAAAGGCAGUGGCGGCACCAUGUCUGGUCCUCGAGCGUAUGGGGCUUUGUCACCCGCUCCCGUAGGUCCAGCUGGCAGCUAGCCUCGCAACCAAUCUUUUUAACCAGGUUGACCUCGGAUCAGGUAGGGAUACCCGCUGAACUUAAGC